UAUAAAUACAGGAUCUACGCAAGAGUUACUGAGUUCCCGUGACCGAUAAUAUAUACACUAUGUCCGCCCCUGUCCUUGCUUGACCCAACUUAUAUGAUUACAUAGAACAUAUUAUUAUUGUUAUUGAUCAUACAAUCGGCAGAAACAGGAUUUCGGAUAUUCAAGUCUGUCACCAUCCAAAAUGAAAACUACUUUGAAGAUUUUGGCCCAAAAGAAAGAAUCAUGGUUGUAUGUAACAGGAGUUGGACUCCGGGCA
RNAcentral lists this long non-coding RNA (256 nucleotides) under Nicotiana benthamiana. RNAcentral describes it as "long non-coding RNA (NBEN_LNC001348)". Lineage: Eukaryota; Viridiplantae; Streptophyta; Magnoliopsida; Solanales; Solanaceae. The record is from RNAcentral.